This 220-nucleotide long non-coding RNA is filed under the name Elaeis guineensis (African oil palm). RNAcentral's name for it is "long non-coding RNA (EGUI_LNC071861)". Lineage: Eukaryota; Viridiplantae; Streptophyta; Magnoliopsida; Arecales; Arecaceae. The record is from RNAcentral.
AACGAGCUGACUUAAUCUGAUCCUCCUCCCAUAAGCACGAUGAUUGGGGAGGCUGAUCCAAGAGAUUUCCUUCAUAUAUUCAGAAAGAAGUCAAAGAAAAAAAAGAUAGUCUCUAUCUCAAAAAAAAAAAGAGAGAAACAAUAACACAAAAGGAGAUUGAGUAAUUUUUUUUAUUAUCUUUCAAACAGUCAGAUACAGAACCUAUUUAUAGACUCUAUCC